UACGGAGGGGACUAGCGUUGUUCGGAAUCACUGGGCGUAAAGCGCACGUAGGCGGGUUUGUAAGUCAGGGGUGAAAUCUCGGGGCUCAACCUCGGAACUGCCUUUGAUACUGCGAGUCUUGAGUCCGAUAGAGGUGGGUGGAAUUCCUAGUGUAGAGGUGAAAUUCGUAGAUAUUAGGAAGAACACCAGUGGCGAAGGCGGCCCGCUGGAUCGGUACUGACGCUGAGGUGCGAAAGCGUGGGGAGCAAACAGG
Molecule: ribosomal RNA, 253 nt
Filed under: uncultured bacterium
Lineage: Bacteria
Description: partial 16S ribosomal RNA
Rfam family: Bacterial small subunit ribosomal RNA
Source: RNAcentral